UCUGUGCUCUCAAGGCUUUAAACUUUGUGUUUAAAAGUUUUAGAGCCUUGAGAGCACU
Molecule: microRNA precursor, 58 nt
Filed under: Flagellimonas flava
Lineage: Bacteria; Pseudomonadati; Bacteroidota; Flavobacteriia; Flavobacteriales; Flavobacteriaceae
Description: Herpesvirus saimiri strain A11 miR-HSUR2 stem-loop (hvsa-miR-HSUR2)
Gene: hvsa-miR-HSUR2
Source: miRBase by way of RNAcentral